GGCUUUGUAGCUCAAGGUGCUAGAGCGUUGGCUGUACUUAAGCCUUCCCCUUGCUGGCGUGGGUUUGAAUCCCACCGUGGCUG
RNAcentral lists this transfer RNA (83 nucleotides) under Schistocephalus solidus. It matches the Rfam family "tRNA". Rfam says of the family: Transfer RNA (tRNA) molecules are approximately 80 nucleotides in length. Their secondary structure includes four short double-helical elements and three loops (D, anti-codon, and T loops). The record is from Rfam by way of RNAcentral. Lineage: Eukaryota; Metazoa; Platyhelminthes; Cestoda; Diphyllobothriidea; Diphyllobothriidae.